UUGGAGGGCAAGUCUGGUGCCAGCAGCCGCGGUAAUUCCAGCUCCAAUAGCGUAUAUUAAAGUUGUUGCAGUUAAAAAGCUCGUAGUUGAAUUUCGGGAUCAAUCUAUCGGUCGUGCAAUAGUACGUACUGAUUUUAUUGAUUCCUCCCUUCUGAUGAACUAUGAUGUCAUUAAUUUGGUGUCAUAGGGAAUCAGGACUGUUACUUUGAAAAAAUUAGAGUGUUUAAAGCAGGCUCACGCUUGAAUACAUUAGCAUGGAAUAACGAAAUAGGACGUUUGAUUCUAUUUUGUUGGUUUCUAGGAUCGACGUAAUGAUUAAUAGGGAUAGUUGGGGGCAUUAGUAUUCAAUUGUCAGAGGUGAAAUUCUUGGAUUUAUUGAAGACUAACUACUGCGAAAGCAUUUGCCAAGGAUGUUUUCAUUAAUCAAGAACGAAAGUUAGGGGAUCGAAGACGAUCAGAUACCGUCGUAGUCUUAACCAUAAACUAUGCCGACUAGGGAUCGGAUGAUGUUAAUUUUUUAAUGACUCAUUCGGCGCCUUACGGGAAACCAAAGUGUUUGGGUUC
Molecule: ribosomal RNA, 564 nt
Filed under: uncultured Glomeromycotina
Lineage: Eukaryota; Fungi; Glomeromycota
Description: SSU rRNA
Rfam family: Eukaryotic small subunit ribosomal RNA
Source: RNAcentral